AUGGAGGCCUGUAUCGUAAUAAAGAGUUUACGGCAGCUAGCUAGACAUCCGACGAGUUUGUGCUCUCUCAUCUUCAGAGCUUUGGCUGAUCUGAUGGGACUUUCCCCCAGUGUACUCGGCAAAUUCAGAGGAGACCCGCCGCCCAUGGAGAAUAUGGUGGGCAAAUCGCCGGAGCCGGAGCCGGAGCUGCCACCGGAUAUGCUGUCGAGCAUCUUUGCCCUCCUCGAGGUCCCUGACCUCGUGCGCGCAGGCUCUGUCUGCUCCUCCUGGCGCUCGGUGUACACCGGACUACGCCGUCAGCUUCGGCAGCACAAACAGCGCCAGACGCCUUGCCUCCUCUACAGCCUUGCCGGAGAGAACGCAGCUUGCCUCUACAGCCUUGCGGAAAAGAGGGCCUACAAGUUAACCCUCCCGGAUCCACCGAUCCGCAGUAGGUAUCUGAUUGGCUCUUCGCAUGGUUGGCUGAUCACUUCCGAUGAGAGGUCCGAGCUGCAAAUUGUAAAUCCAAUCACUGGUGAACAGAUUGUUCUCCCGUCAGUGAUUACUCUUGAGCAAGUCAAGCCGGUCUUUGACGAUGAAGGUGCUAUUCAUAAGUAUGAGUUGUGGGAGCCACGGUACACUGCACUUGCAGAAUUCCUUGGUCACGAGCCCUCAGUUUAUGCUCUCGAUGAGCUCCGUGACUAUCUCUACUUGAAGGCAUAUUUGUUUCCUGACCCGCAAACGGAAAGCUAUAUUGUGGUGCUCAUUCAUAAUCCAGAAUAUCAGAUUUCAUUUGCAAGGGCAGGGGACUGUGGGUGGACCUUUCUGCCACCAGGUUGGAACUAUCAAGAAUGCAUCUACAAGGAUGGUAUACUGUAUGCAGUGACAAGAACUGGAUCAAUUGAUGCUUUUGAUCUCUCUGGUCCUACUGUCACAAGGAAGACGGUUCUGGGUGACAUGAAGAAUUAUAUUUGUGAGCACAUAUACAUUGUUCAGGCACCGUGGGGCGAUAUGCUGCAAGUUUGGAGGGAACAGCCCACUGUAGAUGGCGAUGCUGGUUCAGAGAACAUAAAGGAAACCAGCAAAAUAUUUGUAUAUAAGAUUGAUAUGGCAGCAAAAAAGCUUGUGGAAAUAAAUGGCUUGCAUGGCCAUGUGUUGUUUCUUGGGCAUAGCCAGACUCAGUGUCUCAGUGUGGAAGAAUAUCCGCAAUUGAAGGCAAACUGUGUCUACUUCACCGAUGAUGUAAGAUUUAUUUCGUUGUAUCAGAAUAGUAAACGUGAUGUAGGUGUUCUAAAUUUGGAAAAUGACACCAGGGAAGAAAUUAUACCUCAGAUUUAUUGCAGCUGGCCAAAUCCCAUAUGGAUAACACCCAGUCUUACAAUGAUGUACUCGGGAUUGAUGUAA
This 1383-nucleotide ribosomal RNA is filed under the name Triticum aestivum (bread wheat). Its description in RNAcentral is "partial small subunit ribosomal RNA". The record is from RNAcentral. Lineage: Eukaryota; Viridiplantae; Streptophyta; Magnoliopsida; Poales; Poaceae.